CAAAGGGUUAAUGCCCCUUAGUACGGCGAGUGAAGCGGCAACAGCUCAAAUUUGAAAGCUAGCCUUCGGGUUCGCAUUGUAAUUUGUAGAGGAUGAUUUGGGGAAGCCGCCUGUCUAAGUUCCUUGGAACAGGACGUCAUAGAGGGUGAGAAUCCCGUAUGUGACAGGAAAUGGCACCCUAUGUAAAUCUCCUUCGACGAGUCGAGUUGUUUGGGAAUGCAGCUCUAAAUGGGAGGUAAAUUUCUUCUAAAGCUAAAUAUUGGCGAGAGACCGAUAGCGCACAAGUAGAGUGAUCGAAAGAUGAAAAGCACUUUGGAAAGAGAGUUAAAAAGCACGUGAAAUUGUUGAAAGGGAAGCGCUUGCAAUCAGACUUGUUUAAACUGUUCGGCCGGUCUUCUGACCGGUUUACUCAGUUUGGACAGGCCAGCAUCAGUUUCGGCGGCCGGAUAAAGGCUCUGGGAAUGUGGCCUCCACUUCGGUGGAGGUGUUAUAGCCCAGGGUGUAAUACGGCCAGCCGGGACUGAGGUCCGCGCUUCGGCUAGGAUGCUGGCGUAAUGGUUGUAAGCGACCGCUAAAAAAAAGGCCAAAAAAUUAAGCCCCCCCCAAAGGG
This 610-nucleotide ribosomal RNA is filed under the name Aureobasidium pullulans. RNAcentral's name for it is "eukaryotic LSU rRNA". It matches the Rfam family "Eukaryotic large subunit ribosomal RNA", at positions 66 to 692 of the family's 3401-position model. The record is from RNAcentral. Lineage: Eukaryota; Fungi; Ascomycota; Dothideomycetes; Dothideales; Saccotheciaceae.